GGCACUGUGAGCUGAGUGAUAAAGCCGUUUAUUUGGCAUGCAAAAGAUCCCAGGUUCAAUCCCCAGCAAUCCCUGGUAGGUCA
Molecule: non-coding RNA, 83 nt
Organism: Podarcis lilfordi (Lilford's wall lizard)
Lineage: Eukaryota; Metazoa; Chordata; Lepidosauria; Squamata; Lacertidae
Source: the annotation of a GenBank genome assembly